Molecule: long non-coding RNA, 1462 nt
Filed under: Capsicum annuum
Lineage: Eukaryota; Viridiplantae; Streptophyta; Magnoliopsida; Solanales; Solanaceae
Description: long non-coding RNA (CANN_LNC011816)
Source: RNAcentral
AAACCAUAUACUAAGGCCAUUUCAAACAUUUCCCUAUGUUUCUUGUCCAUAUUGAGCAAUAAAUUAUUUGGGUAGUGGUCUUUAGAAUAUUCACUGUAUACACCUGGGGCUUCUAUAACAACCAUAUUCUACCUCCUUCAUACAAGUUUAAGUUUGUGGUAUAUGAACAACCAUCACAAAGUAUAAGAGAUGCUCUUUGAGCUUGUGUUCUCUUAAUCUUUGUCUCCAAGAGAACAAAAAGACUGACUCUAGAGUUGUGCAUAAAAGUAUGUAUUUCUCUCUAUUUUUCAAUCCUAUUUGCAUUUCUCUCUAUUUUUCAAUCCUAUUUAAUCCCUUAGAGUUACAGAAUCCAAUGCUAUCCAUCGUAUGGGGAUGGGCUUUCACCAUCUCUAGCAUUGUGUAGUUUUUGUCCACUUGUUCUUCCAUUCUUCAUUUGUUACGUUCCUGUUUCUUGACCAGGAGCUUUGUCCAGUAUGUCAGGUAUUUUUCAUGGUCAGUAUUGUACCUGGGGAUUGGGGUGCUUAAAGCUUGCUUUGCCUUAAUUCCCUGUUUUUAUCUGGUGUCUUUUGACUUCCUUUUCGAGGGUCUUCUUUCUGUGUCUCCUAGCUUUUCUCUUAUUGUUUGUUCUCUUCCACCUGCUGUUUUUUCUCUCUACCGUCUUUCAAUUGUCUCAUGGAAUUUUCAACUUCAUGUUCAAAGUUUUGGUAAUAUGUGCACAUGGUCGGUUUCCACUCAUGUUCCACCCGUUGUUAUACAAUGCAUCUUAGCUCAUUUUCAACCAUCACCCUUGUAGGGUAAACUUUAUCUAUGGGUAACUCCACUAGAACUCGUGCAACUAUCAUACGCUCUUUGUUUGAUGUAGCUCUAUCCGCUCGCAAUGGCGUUCCAAUUAAGCCAACUAUUUUGGCUAAUUCUCCCCUACCCAGUAUUUGAUAUUCAAGUUUGGUAGUUUAACCACACUGGCACCCUAGUAACUGUCUCCUUUGUAGCAUCACAAUUCAGCUCCCAUGAUUUUACCACUAUUGGCUUGCUAUCAAAUAGCAAUACACCUUCUUCCAUUACUUUCACUUUCUCCUUCUGUGAAUUGAAUCUCAGAAGGGAAACUCCUCUAUUUACUUGGGCUACCCUUUCUAUUCCCCUUCCUUUCCAUAUGCGAUUAAAGUACCUCUCCAUCACUGAUUGUGGGGGGGUGGGGUGGGGGAUUUGACCCCAUCACAUAGCAUAUUAUUGUUGAUUCCCAGAAAUUCACCUCCUCUUGUAUAUCCUCCGCUGUAAUCUUCACCAUAGUGCUUCCCGCUCCUUUAUUCUGCAGCUCAAACCCUACUUCGAUCCAUCACCCCAUUAAUUUUACUCCACAUUUGCAUCUUACUCAUCGGUGGAUUGGGAUUUUGUUCUUCUUCUACCAUAUCUUCCCAUGUAGAUGCCCCUGAACAUCCCUGCUCUGACAUCUUCCCUGUUUUCA